RNAcentral lists this ribosomal RNA (576 nucleotides) under uncultured Sphaerotilus sp. RNAcentral's name for it is "bacterial SSU rRNA". It matches the Rfam family "Bacterial small subunit ribosomal RNA", at positions 340 to 916 of the family's 1533-position model. Lineage: Bacteria; Pseudomonadati; Pseudomonadota; Betaproteobacteria; Burkholderiales; Sphaerotilaceae. The record is from RNAcentral.
UACGGGAGGCAGCAGUAAGGAAUAUUGGUCAAUGGACGAAAGUCUGAACCAGCCAUCCCGCGUGCAGGAUGACUGCCCUAUGGGUUGUAAACUGCUUUUAGUAGAGAAGAAACGCAGUCAUUUAUGAUUGCCUGACGGUACCUACAGAAUAAGCACCGGCUAACUCCGUGCCAGCAGCCGUGGUAAUACGGAGGGUGCGAGCGUUAUCCGGAAUCACUGGGUUUAAAGGGUGCGUAGGCGGGGAAUUAAGUCAGUGGUGAAAUCUUGUCGCUUAACGAUAAAAUUGCCAUUGAUACUGAUUUUCUUGAAUUGGGUUGAGGUUAGCGGAAUGUGACAUGUAGCGGUGAAAUGCAUAGAUAUGUCAUGGAACACCAAUUGCGAAGGCAGCUAGCUGGGCCUUGAUUGACGCUGAGGCACGAAAGCGUGGGUAGCGAACAGGAUUAGAUACCCUGGUAGUCCACGCCCUAAACGAUGCUAACUCGAUGUUUGGCCGUAAGGUUGAGCAUCCAAGGGAAACCGAUAAGUUAGCCACCUGGGGAGUACGACCGCAAGGUUGAAACUCAAAGGAAUUGACGG